AAACCAUGAUGAGGACACUCUAAAAUAAGAUCUUUAAAUCGUUCCAUAUUUCAAGAGAAUGAUUCGUUGGGUCACUGUCGAAACUGGAGAAUGUCGUUCCUAAGUUU
This 107-nucleotide small nucleolar RNA is filed under the name Cephalotus follicularis. Its description in RNAcentral is "Plant small nucleolar RNA R71". It matches the Rfam family "Plant small nucleolar RNA R71". Rfam says of the family: R71 is a member of the C/D box family of snoRNAs containing the C (UGAUGA) and D (CUGA) box motifs. Multiple nearly identical copies of this snoRNA have been identified in Arabidopsis, and it is thought to function as a 2'-O-ribose methylation guide for 18S ribosomal RNA. The record is from Rfam by way of RNAcentral. Lineage: Eukaryota; Viridiplantae; Streptophyta; Magnoliopsida; Oxalidales; Cephalotaceae.